RNAcentral lists this ribosomal RNA (566 nucleotides) under uncultured bacterium. RNAcentral describes it as "bacterial SSU rRNA". It matches the Rfam family "Bacterial small subunit ribosomal RNA", at positions 224 to 783 of the family's 1533-position model. The record is from RNAcentral.
GAUGAGCCCGCGGCCUAUCAGCUAGUUGGUGAGGUAACGGCUCACCAAGGCUAAGACGGGUAGCUGGUCUGAGAGGACGACCAGCCUCACUGGAACUGAGACACGGUCCAGACACCUACGGGUGGCAGCAGUCGAGAAUUUUUCACAAUGGGCGAAAGCCUGAUGGAGCGACGCCGCGUGGGGGAUGAAUGGCUUCGGCCCGUAAACCCCUGUCAUUUGCGAACAAACCCUGCUAUUUAAAAGAUGGCGGGCUGAUUGUAGCGAAAGAGGAAGGGACGGCUGACUCUGUGCCAGCAGCCGCGGUAAUACGGAGGUCCCAAGCGUUGUUCGGAUUCACUGGGCGUAAAGGGCGCGUAGGUGGCCGGGUAAGUUCGAUGUGAAAGCUCUGAGCUUAACUCAGAAAUGGCAUUGAAUACUAUCCGGCUCGAGGGUCGGAAGGGGGACUGGAAUUCUCGGUGUAGCAGUGAAAUGCGUAGAUAUCGAGAGGAACACCAGUGGCGAAGGCGGGUCCCUGGACGACUCCUGACACUGAGGCGCGAAAGCCGGGGGAGCAAACAGGAUUAGAU